UCCGGCUUGACGCCGGCAGUCUCGUUAGAGUCCUCAGCAUUACCUGUUAGCAACUAACGACAAGGGUUGCGCUCGUUAAUGGACUUAACCAAACACUUCACAGCACGAGCUGACGACAGCCAUGCAGCACCUGUUCACGUUGUACUCUUGCGAGCCUCAUACCUGUUUCCAGAUACUAAUCCGUGUAUGUCAAACCCGGGUAAGGUUCUUCGCGUUGCUUCGAAUUAAGCAACAUGCUCCACCGCUUGUGUGAGCCCCCGUCAAUUUCUUUGAGUUUUAGCCUUGCGACCGUACUCCCCAGGCGGUACACUUAUCAAUUUCUCUACGACCAAUACGACGUCAGAGCCGCAUCGGUCUAGUGUACAUCGUUUAGGGCGUGGACUAC
Molecule: unclassified non-coding RNA, 385 nt
Filed under: uncultured Phycisphaeraceae bacterium
Lineage: Bacteria; Pseudomonadati; Planctomycetota; Phycisphaerae; Phycisphaerales; Phycisphaeraceae
Description: contains 16S-23S intergenic spacer region
Source: RNAcentral